This 474-nucleotide ribosomal RNA is filed under the name Ophryophryne elfina. RNAcentral's name for it is "partial 16S ribosomal RNA". It matches the Rfam family "Bacterial large subunit ribosomal RNA", at positions 1978 to 2622 of the family's 2925-position model. The record is from RNAcentral. Lineage: Eukaryota; Metazoa; Chordata; Amphibia; Anura; Megophryidae.
AAAUAAAGACUAGUAUGAAUGGCUUCACGAGGAUCCAACUGUCUCCUUUGUCCAAUCAGUGAAACUGAUCCCCCCGUGCAGAAGCGGGGAUAUUAUCAUAAGACGAGAAGACCCUAUGGAGCUUUAAACCUACAUCAACAAAUUUCUUUCUAUCUCUAAACUAACAUUUAUUAAAUUUGCUUGAUUAAAGUUUUAGGUUGGGGCGACCAUGGAGAAAAAAAAAUCCUCCACGAUGAUCUCCUAACUAAGAACCCCAAUUCUAAGUAUUAAGACUCUUAACUUAUAUUGACCCAUUUUAUGAUCAACGAACCAAGUUACCCUAGGGAUAACAGCGCAAUCCAUUUCAAGAGUCCCUAUCGACAAAUGGGUUUACGACCUCGAUGUUGGAUCAGGGCACCCAAGUGGUGCAACCGCUACUAAAGGUUCGUUUGUUCAACGAUUAAAGCCCUACGUGAUCAGAGUUCAGACCGGAGA